GAGGUUGUGGCUCUGUGGUAGAGCGCUUGCCUUGCAUGUGUGGGGCACUGGGUUCAAUCCUCAGCACCACA
Molecule: transfer RNA, 71 nt
Filed under: Marmota monax (woodchuck)
Lineage: Eukaryota; Metazoa; Chordata; Mammalia; Rodentia; Sciuridae
Description: tRNA.Ala
Source: RNAcentral